RNAcentral lists this unclassified non-coding RNA (297 nucleotides) under Bombus terrestris (buff-tailed bumblebee). Its description in RNAcentral is "misc RNA ENSBTSG00005031941.1". Lineage: Eukaryota; Metazoa; Arthropoda; Insecta; Hymenoptera; Apidae. The record is from RNAcentral.
AUUAGAUACUCGAGAAGCUAAUGACAAUGCUCCUAGGUUCAAUAACCAAUCCGCGGUCAACGGGACAACAAAAUGCGCUUUCUUCCAAAGUCCAAGUUGUACUCAACUUGCUUACCUACGGUACAAGUAUUACUGGACUAACUCUUUGUUAAAACAUAGAAUAUCCACCGAGCGUAAAGACGUUAUGUAACUCGCUAACGAGACCUCACGAGAGAAUGACUUUCCGUCACGAUGAUACUGCAUAGGAAAACUAUGAUGGGGUGUGUCUAAAGACACGAGAUCAUCGGAUUCGUCGAG